AGACCUCUAAUCGGAAAAGACCACGUGCCGAAUUU
This 35-nucleotide ribosomal RNA is filed under the name Zygodon viridissimus. Its description in RNAcentral is "partial 28S ribosomal RNA". The record is from RNAcentral. Lineage: Eukaryota; Viridiplantae; Streptophyta; Bryopsida; Orthotrichales; Orthotrichaceae.